GACGAACGCUGGCGGCGUGCUUAACACAUGCAAGUCGAACGGAAAGGCCCUGCUUUUGUGGGGUGCUCGAGUGGCGAACGGGGGAGUAACACGUGAGUAACCUGCACUUGUCUUUGGGAUAACUUCAGGAAACUGGGGCGAAUACCGGAGAGGAGAUCUUGCUGCACGGUGGGGGUUGGAAAGUUUCGGCGGUUGGGGAUGGACUCGCGGCUUAUCAGCUUGUUGGUGGGGUAGGGGCUUACCAAGGCUUUGACGGGUAGCCGGCCUGAGAGGGUGACCGGCCACAUUGGGACUGAGAUACGGCCCAGACUCCUACGGGAGGCAGCAGUGGGGAAUAUUGCACAAUGGGCGGAAGCCUGAUGCAGCAACGCCGCGUGCGGGAUGACGGCCUUCGGGUUGUAAACCGCUUUCGCCUGUGACGAAGCGUGAGUGACGGUAAUGGGUAAAGAAGCACCGGCUAACUACGUG
This 468-nucleotide ribosomal RNA is filed under the name uncultured bacterium. RNAcentral's name for it is "partial 16S ribosomal RNA". It matches the Rfam family "Bacterial small subunit ribosomal RNA", at positions 28 to 507 of the family's 1533-position model. The record is from RNAcentral.